This 269-nucleotide long non-coding RNA is filed under the name Gallus gallus (chicken). The record is from RNAcentral. Lineage: Eukaryota; Metazoa; Chordata; Aves; Galliformes; Phasianidae.
GGCUGGCAGUCCAUGUGCUGUUGAUGUAAGGUUCUUGAGUUGCAAGCAGCAGCGGUCCUUUCUCAUCUCUCUAGUUCUGCUUCCAGGAUUUCUCCCCAUGUGUCAACAUCCAUAGGAUACAUGCUUUUCUCAGGCAAGUUGUUUUGUGAGUGAACGUUACUGUAUUUCCCGCUGAGCCAUUCUUGUUUUACUUUGCUUUUCCAGUAGUUCCUUAGUAAUGUGAUCUUCCACGAAUAUCCACUUCCCCGGUCGCCGUCGAUCUCCCGCUG